UAAUGGACAUCUGUUACUUCCUGAUUGCCAAAGGACUGUCCAGUCCUGCCGAGUGCUGUGAGGGGCCACCUUACGCAGUGGCAGAGUCUGGCAUGCUAGCAGAAUGCUGUGGAGUGGCACGUGUCAGAGGACACCUCAGUUCACGUCGGACCAUUCACAGCAGCAGAAGGGCAGGAUCGGCUGUAGAAAAGCAGAGGAUUCACUGUAGGUGGCUUUCACACAUCAGCAAGCAUUACCUGUGGGGCGGG
This 248-nucleotide long non-coding RNA is filed under the name Ornithorhynchus anatinus (platypus). Its description in RNAcentral is "lncRNA (ENSOANG00000047448.1)". Lineage: Eukaryota; Metazoa; Chordata; Mammalia; Monotremata; Ornithorhynchidae. The record is from RNAcentral.